CGGGAACUCUGAGACAGGUGCUGCAUGGCUGUCGUCAGCUCGUGUUGUGAAAUGUUGGGUUAAGUCCCGCAACGAGCGCAACCCUUAUCCUUUGUUGCCAGCGCGUGAUGGCGGGAACUCAAAGGAGACUGCCGGUGAUAAACCGGAGGAAGGUGGGGAUGACGUCAAGUCAUCAUGGCCCUUACGAGUAGGGCUACACACGUGCUACAAUGGCGUAUACAAAGGGAAGCGACCCCGCGAGGGCAAGCGGAACUCAUAAAGUACGUCGUAGUCCGGAUUGGAGUCUGCAACUCGACUCCAUGAAGUCGGAAUCGCUAGUAAUCGUAGAUCAGAAUGCUACGGUGAAUACGUUCCCGGGCCUUGUACACACCGCCCGUCACACCAUGGGAGUGGGUUGCAAAAGAAGUAGGUAGCUUAACCUCCGGGAGGGCGCUUACCACUUUGUGAUUCAUGACUGGGGUGAAGUCGUAACAAGGUAACCGUAGGGGAACCUGC
Molecule: ribosomal RNA, 495 nt
Filed under: Morganella morganii
Lineage: Bacteria; Pseudomonadati; Pseudomonadota; Gammaproteobacteria; Enterobacterales; Morganellaceae
Also listed under: 1 other name
Description: bacterial SSU rRNA
Rfam family: Bacterial small subunit ribosomal RNA
Source: RNAcentral